RNAcentral lists this ribosomal RNA (253 nucleotides) under uncultured bacterium. RNAcentral describes it as "partial 16S ribosomal RNA". It matches the Rfam family "Bacterial small subunit ribosomal RNA", at positions 524 to 776 of the family's 1533-position model. The record is from RNAcentral.
UACGGAGGGUGCGAGCGUUGUCCGGAAUCACUGGGCGUAAAGGGCGCGUAGGCGGCAUGCCAAGCGUGUGGUGAAAGCCCGGGGCUCAACCCCGGGUCGGCCGUGCGGACUGGCAUGCUCGAGCACUGUAGGGGCGGGUGGAAUUCCGGGUGUAGCGGUGGAAUGCGUAGAGAUCCGGAAGAACACCGGUGGCGAAGGCGGCCUGCUGGGCGGCGACUGACGCUGAGGCGCGACAGCGUGGGGAGCAAACAGG